AGUGAACGCUGGCGGUAGGCCUAACACAUGCAAGUCGAACGGCAGCACAGAGGAGCUUGCUCCUUGGGUGGCGAGUGGCGGACGGGUGAGGAAUACAUCGGAAUCUACUCUGUCGUGGGGGAUAACGUAGGGAAACUUACGCUAAUACCGCAUACGACCUACGGGUGAAAGCAGGGGACCUUCGGGCCUUGCGCGAUUGAAUGAGCCGAUGUCGGAUUAGCUAGUUGGCGGGGUAAAGGCCCACCAAGGCGACGAUCCGUAGCUGGUCUGAGAGGAUGCUCAGCCACACUGGAACUGAGACACGGUCCAGACUCGUACGGGAGUCAGCAGUGGGGAAUAUUGGACAAUGGGCGCAAGCCUGAUCCAGCCAUACCGCGUGGGUGAAGAAGGCCUUCGGGUUGUAAAGCCCUUUUGUUGGGAAAGAAAUCCAGCUGGCUAAUACCCGGUUGGGAUGACGGUACCCAAAGAAUAAGCACCGGCUAACUUCGUGCCAGCCGCCGCCGUAA
Molecule: ribosomal RNA, 506 nt
Filed under: uncultured bacterium
Lineage: Bacteria
Description: partial 16S ribosomal RNA
Rfam family: Bacterial small subunit ribosomal RNA
Source: RNAcentral